GAGUCAUACCUGCUCGGUGAAUAUAUUUUAACAGCUGCGGUAUUUUAACUGUACUAAGGUAGCAUAAUAAUUUGCCUUAUAAUUUGAGGCUAGAAUGAAUGGUUUGACGAAGGUUAUGCUGUCUCUAUUUUAUUUUUUAGAAUUUAAUUUUUAUUGUGAAAAAGCAUAAAUUUUUCAAAGGGACGAGAAGACCCUAGUGAGCUUAUAAUUAUAUUAGUAUAAUAUUAUUAUUAUUCAUAUUAUACUAUAUAAAUUUUAAUUGGGGUGAUUAAGGAAUAAAUAUUGUAUAAUAACUUCCUUGAUAAAUAAUAUAUUUAUAUGAAAUAACCAAUAAUAAUAUUGCUUAUAGUAUAGUUACCAUAGGGAUAACAGCGUAAUUUAUUUAGAGAGUUCUUAUUGAAAAAUAAGAUUGCGACCUCGAUGUUGGAUUAAAGUUACCUUAAGGUGCAGAAGCUUUAAUAAGGUGAAUCUGUUCGAUUUUUAAAACUUUACAUGAUCUGAGU
RNAcentral lists this ribosomal RNA (503 nucleotides) under Idiosepius biserialis. RNAcentral describes it as "partial 16S ribosomal RNA". It matches the Rfam family "Bacterial large subunit ribosomal RNA", at positions 1850 to 2610 of the family's 2925-position model. Lineage: Eukaryota; Metazoa; Mollusca; Cephalopoda; Idiosepiidae. RNAcentral also lists the same sequence under 1 other name. The record is from RNAcentral.